This 253-nucleotide ribosomal RNA is filed under the name uncultured bacterium. Its description in RNAcentral is "partial 16S ribosomal RNA". It matches the Rfam family "Bacterial small subunit ribosomal RNA", at positions 524 to 776 of the family's 1533-position model. The record is from RNAcentral.
CACGUAGGGCGCAAGCGUUGUCCGGAAUUAUUGGGCGUAAAGAGCUCGUAGGCGGUCUGUUGCGUCUGCUGUGAAAACUCGGGGCUUAACCCCGAGCCUGCAGUGGAUACGGGCAGACUAGAGGUAGGUAGGGGAGAAUGGAAUUCCCGGUGUAGCGGUGAAAUGCGCAGAUAUCGGGAGGAACACCGGUGGCGAAGGCGGUUCUCUGGGCCUUACCUGACGCCGAGGAGCGAAAGUGUGGGGAGCGAACAGG